This 71-nucleotide transfer RNA is filed under the name Pachypanchax playfairii (golden panchax). Its description in RNAcentral is "tRNA-Thr". It matches the Rfam family "tRNA". Rfam says of the family: Transfer RNA (tRNA) molecules are approximately 80 nucleotides in length. The record is from RNAcentral. Lineage: Eukaryota; Metazoa; Chordata; Actinopteri; Cyprinodontiformes; Aplocheilidae.
GCAUUAGUAGCUCAGAAAACAGAGCGCCGGUCUUGUAAACCGGAGGCCGGGGGUUAGCUCCCCCCUAUUGC